Molecule: long non-coding RNA, 1231 nt
Filed under: Dromaius novaehollandiae (emu)
Lineage: Eukaryota; Metazoa; Chordata; Aves; Casuariiformes; Dromaiidae
Description: lncRNA (ENSDNVG00000005747.1)
Source: RNAcentral
GGAGCCCGGCCUCUUCUCCUGGGGUGAGCGCGGGCGGCCGGAGCUCGCGGAGCGCCCGCUGGGGGCGGCUCCCAGCCCCCGCUCACAGCCCCGCUCUCUUCCAGAGCCACCCAGCUCCCUGCUGCCUGUCGUCCUCGGGGUGGUCGUCGCUGUGGUCGCCAUCAUCGCGGUGAUCGCCUUCUUUGUGGUCUGCAAGAGCAGAUGGGGGAGGAAGGAGAAGGGGUACCUAAUGACCAAAGGUGAGUGCCGGGGCCGCUCCGUCCCAGGCCGCGCCUGGCAGCGGGGUGGCAUUUGCUCUCUGGUUUCUGGCGGCCGCAGGGCUGGCUCGUCCCGUCCCCCGCCUGCCCCCAUCUCCCCUCUUCCACGCCCCGCAGCUUUUCCCUGGCUACGGGGCAGGGAAAGGGUUGGCGUCCCGCCGCUGGAGGCUGAGGCGCCUGGGCGCUGCCCUCUGCUCCUGGCGCCCGUGAGGCAGCUCCAGGGCCGGGUCCCAGCCCGGCAGUCUGCCCCGGCCAGGCUUUGCCCGCAGCCGGCGUGGGGCCCGCAGUGCCGCUGGCACAGGGCCGGGGCUCACUGCUGCUCCUCUCUCGCAGGCCACGACGGGGCAUCCAGCAGCUCUGAAACGGGCAGCAAUGCCGCCGUUUAAGCAUUCCGUCCUGGACUUGUCCUGGUGGCUCUCUUCGCACAAGAACACUUUCUGCGGUGGCGCUCUCUGACCAAGAACGCUGUUUUUUUGGUGCAUCUCGUUGCACAGGAACGUUGUUUUUAGGUGUGUCUGUCACCACAACAAUGCUGUUUUCUGACUGUACUGCACUCGAGGUCAGUGAAUUCUCCAGAGCCCCAGCUGCCAUCUGGGCAUCCUUCAAGGCCCGGCCCCGUGGGGCAGCCCCCCACUGGGGUGUGGGGGGGUCCGGCUCCACAGAGCGCGAGGGGGGAGAGCCGGAGGCACCCCCUGUUUGGUCCCGAGGCCCGGCCCCCUCCGGGCUGGAGCGAGUCCUGGUGCUUUCACCCACAGGGCGGCACUGGGUGGUCGGGGGGGAUGGAGCCUGCGCCCGCCCGGGCCGCUUCCUGCUGUCCUGGCCCGGGCGCUGGGGCCCCGGUGAGGACGAGGACGGCGGGCGCCGGGGCAGAGGAGCCCGGGCUCCCGGCCUGCCAGUGGCGCCCGCGGCGAGAGGCAGAGGCUGAGACCAGGCACAGCUCAGCGCAGGCGCCUCCCCCGCCCCCCGCCGCAGCA